AAUUUAUCUUACCAACUAUCUUAACGUGUAAAAUUUAGACUAGUGACCUAUCAAAAUGAGCAAGUCUUCAAUACAGUUAGCAUUAACAUGAUUAAGAAACUACUUCCUUUGAUCCUACAAAAACAGAUGCCAACAAUGACAACUUGUCAGAUUUAAAUGUGUUUGGUGAAUUUAUUUCACUUUAUCAUCACUUUCUUCGUCUGUUGAAACAUUUAAGAUUUUUUCUCAGUACUGUUUUGUUUUUCUAAAGGGACGUAACACCACUACUAACCGUGUAUGAAAUAAGCCCCGCCUCCCAACUAACCUAA
Molecule: long non-coding RNA, 308 nt
Filed under: Mytilus galloprovincialis (Mediterranean mussel)
Lineage: Eukaryota; Metazoa; Mollusca; Bivalvia; Mytilida; Mytilidae
Source: RNAcentral